This 710-nucleotide long non-coding RNA is filed under the name Androctonus crassicauda. The record is from RNAcentral. Lineage: Eukaryota; Metazoa; Arthropoda; Arachnida; Scorpiones; Buthidae.
CGAAGAUCGGAAUUUCGGUCCGUCAUCGCAGUCAUCACUUUUCUCUCUUCUUUCCACCUUAAUAGUUAUUUUAUCCGUCUAUAGAGGGCGCUUACCCGGCGGCUUCUGUACGGAUUUACGGGGAUAGUGUCGGUCCCCUCUCGAUGUUAAACUCAUACCCCAGGAGGAAAUGGUCGUUACCGUCGCUGGUAGCAACCUCCAAUCGGGGAUGGGUAGAUGGCCCAAGGCUUCGGCUAUUGGCGGCGCGCGACAAGUUGUUGCUUCGCGAAGGACGAGUGCUACAGUCUGCGCGAAGUUGGCGUGGACGAGAGGCAUGCGGCGCGAUUUUUCUUCCGGGUCGGGACCUUGACCCCCCGACCUCGGCCGGCAUCUUACUUGUUACCAGGGAAUAAACCCGGGUCGAUAUGGCACAGUUAUACGAUCAAUAUGUUUACAAGGUAAGCGGUUUUACUUUCUUUCACGCUCCUCAACUCCGAGUUUCGAUUUAAACUACCAAGGCCAAACUACUACAAACUUACGGUUUCCGUACUCUAUCUCUCUGUCGUCCACCGAUACCUUCCACAGUAGGAAUUUAAAUUUAAUUCUGGUAAGAGGAGAAAAUUUAAAUUCCGACAAGCAGCAACAUGUCCGAAAACAUAUUUUUUUUUUUAAUUUCGAAACUCGAGAGUGCUUUCGGUUUACGGAAAGAUCGAGUGAAAAAGUCGGAGAAC